UUUAAAGGGAGCGUAGAUGGAUGUUUAAGUCAGUUGUGAAAGUUUGCGGCUCAACAGUAAAAUUGCAGUUGAUACUGGAUAUCUUGAGUGCAGUUGAGGCAGGCGGAAUUCGUGGUGUAGCGGUGAAAUGCUUAGAUAUCACGAAGAACUCCGAUUGCGAAGGCAGCCUGCUAAGCUGCAACUGACAUUGAGGCUCGAAAGUGUGGGUAUCAAACAGGAUUAGAUACCCUGGUAGUCCACACGGUAAACGAUGAAUACUCGCUGUUUGCGAUAUACAGCAAGCGGCCAAGCGAAAGCGUUAAGUAUUCCACCUGGGGAGUACGCCGGCAACGGUGAAACUCAAAGGAAUUGACGGGGGCCCGCACAAGCGGAGGAACAUGUGGUUUAAUUCGAUGAUACGCGAGGAACCUUACCCGGGCUUAAAUUGCAGAUGAAUUACGGUGAAAGCCGUAAGCCGCAAGGCAUCUGUGAAGGUGCUGCAUGGUUGUCGUCAGCUCGUGCCGUGAGGUGUCGGCUUAAGUGCCAUAACGAGCGCAACCCUUGUUGUCAGUUACUAACAGGUUCCGCUGAGGACUCUGACAAGACUGCCAUCGUAAGAUGUGAGGAAGGUGGGGAUGACGUCAAAUCAGCACGGCCCUUACGUCCGGGGCUACACACGUGUUACAAUGGGGGGUACAGAGGGCCGCUACCACGCGAGUGGAUGCCAAUCCCCAAAACCUCUCUCAGUUCGGACUGGAGUCUGCAACCCGACUCCACGAAGCUGGAUUCGCUAGUAAUCGCGCAUCAGCCACGGCGCGGUGAAUACGUUCCCGGGCCUUGUACACACCGCCCGUCAAGCCAUGGGAGCCGGGGGUACCUGAAGUGCGUAACCGCGAGGAGC
Molecule: ribosomal RNA, 880 nt
Filed under: Phocaeicola vulgatus
Lineage: Bacteria; Pseudomonadati; Bacteroidota; Bacteroidia; Bacteroidales; Bacteroidaceae
Description: bacterial SSU rRNA
Rfam family: Bacterial small subunit ribosomal RNA
Source: RNAcentral